Molecule: long non-coding RNA, 455 nt
Organism: Balaenoptera ricei (Rice's whale)
Lineage: Eukaryota; Metazoa; Chordata; Mammalia; Artiodactyla; Balaenopteridae
Exons: 3
Source: RefSeq, a predicted model, not a curated record
UAAUGAUUCCUAUUCCCCUUCUGGAAGGGGACAGCCGGAAGGCUGGAAGGGUCAUGGGUAAUUGGUAGGGAGUGUAAUAUCUAAAAGAUGAAGAAACUCAAGCUGAGAGAGGUUAAGUGACUUGCUCAAAGUAACAAGCUGGAAAGCCCGAAGCAAUGAUUAGGUCUGUUGCUAAGGAUUAAGCCACCGAAUUAUGGAUGGAAAGAAUGUCACCUCCUCCUCCAUAAAGGACUGUUCCUCUCAGCUGGACAACCAAGGUCCCAAUUCCUCUCCCCUUCCAAAUCAAGGAAAACAUUUUAAUUAUGACUUCAACAACUGUUCUAGACAAGUCCAGAGAUAGAUUGCCCCGGGAAUUAUUUUCUCUAAAAUGAACUGCAAGUGUUUACCAUAAAUAUAUGUUUAAUAUAUGUUCUGCUUAUGUCUGGGGCCAGGCAGCAUAAAAUUACUUUACUGGC